RNAcentral lists this long non-coding RNA (569 nucleotides) under Homo sapiens (human). RNAcentral's name for it is "non-protein coding lnc-SYN1-1:2". The record is from RNAcentral. Lineage: Eukaryota; Metazoa; Chordata; Mammalia; Primates; Hominidae.
AGUUCCUCCUGCCUCUAGGUUCCUCUUUCCCUGCUGAUUCCAGGAGCCUAUCAACCCAGAUAAAGCGGGACCUCCUCUCUGGUAGAGGUGCAGGGGGCAGUACUCAACAUGAUCACAGAGGGAGCGCAGGCCCCUCGAUUGUUGCUGCCGCCGCUGCUCCUGCUGCUCACCCUGCCAGCCACAGGCUCAGACCCCGUGCUCUGCUUCACCCAGUAUGAAGAAUCCUCCGGCAAGUGCAAGGGCCUCCUGGGGGGUGGUGUCAGCGUGGAAGACUGCUGUCUCAACACUGCCUUUGCCUACCAGAAACGUAGUGGUGGGCUCUGUCAGCCUUGCAGUCCUUACCUUUGCUUACUGCGGACCUGGUGUUGGCCAUGCAGCCUUCCAAUGGUAACUCCAGAUGCCUGAUUGUGAAGGUCCCCACGAUGGUCCCUGUGGUCCACAUGGGCCCCCUGUUCGGUGACGUGCUCUGAGGGCUCCCAGCUGCGGUACCGGCGCUGUGUGGGCUGGAAUGGGCAGUGCUCUGGAAAGGUGGCACCUGGGACCCUGGAGUGGCAGCUCCAGGCCUGUGA